This is a long non-coding RNA of Cavia porcellus (domestic guinea pig), 1043 nucleotides long. RefSeq lists it as uncharacterized. The transcript has 3 exons. The record is from RefSeq and is a predicted model, not a curated record. NCBI's taxonomy places the organism in Eukaryota, Metazoa, Chordata, Mammalia, Rodentia, Caviidae.
UUACAGACUCGUUUCCUCCAAGGGCUGAGCUGCAGAGUGGCGUGGAAAGCAGGGAAUGGAGGUCUCUGAAGUUAGCCCGGGAGCGCUGAGGUCGUGGUUCUCCGUCUCUGGAAGCAGCUUCUCUCCAUUUCUUCUCUUCUCCGCCUCUCAUUCCUGCUGCCAUCACCUUGCUGUGGACCCUGUGACUCUGCAGUUCAGCAGUGGUCCUCUCAGCCAGGCCCUGCCACUAGCCUGGUAUCUGAGGAGGAGCCAGUGUGACCUCCAGUAGCACAGGGGUUCCCUCGGUAGGAAGUGCCGCCCCUGCGCGUUGGCCUCCAGCCGCACACCUGCUCCUCGCUUACCGCUUCAUCGUGAGACCCCCGCCCUUGUGAUGCCCUCUCCACUUUCUCUACCUGAACUCCCCGUGCUUCUUGCAGCAGCUCAGGUGUCAGUCACCCUCAUGGAGCCUGUCUACGUGGGUCAAAGACUGCACUUUGGCUCCCAACAGCCUCGGUGACCCUGGCCUGCACUGCAGAGACAGACAGACAUGGACAGGAGAGCCCUGACAUGACUCACAAAACCAAGUGAGGACUGCUGCCUUGUAAGGCAACACUGUGAAGGCUAACAAUUCCAAGGAGCCUGUCACCUCUGGAAGCAUUUUGGAACUUCAGUUUACAUCAGCACCAGAGUUGAGGUGGUGAAUUUUCACAUCUCCCGGGAGGAGCUAUUUUUGGAAACAACCUACUCCUCAGUGUGAGUAGGUCUUUUCUGUUGCAGGCUUGCGUGGAAGUUCAGGAACCUAGGUGACUUCUUGCUUUCGGAUCAGACCAGACCAUUGGCUGUGUUGGUUCUCAGGCCUUUAGACUGGACUGGAACUACAUCAUCUAUUAUGCAGUUUGCUGAAAGCAGAUCUUGGAAAUUCUUAGGUGCCAUCAUUAUGUGAGCAAACUAUAAUAAAUUAAUAAAUAUCUUAUUGGUUCUGUUUCUCCAGAGAACUUGACUGAUGUACAUAGCCUUAUAAUAAAUUUAUAAAAGACAAACAGGAAUAAAGAAUGAAAUAAACA